This 1257-nucleotide long non-coding RNA is filed under the name Cricetulus griseus (Chinese hamster). RNAcentral describes it as "lncRNA (ENSCGRG00015042693.1)". Lineage: Eukaryota; Metazoa; Chordata; Mammalia; Rodentia; Cricetidae. The record is from RNAcentral.
GUUUUGUACCUCAUAUGUUCACAGGGUGGUGCCCAGUGCCCAGUGCCCAGCACAGUGUCUGACUCACUAGUAACCAGAUAAAGACUUACAGGAACCCUGCAACCUGAUAACUCAACACUGGUACAUGAAACCAGGAAAACAAUCCAGAAAGGCAGACAAGACUCCCAUUUUGAGAUGUCUUAGGAUCCAGAGUUACACUGUUCAGUACAAUUGUCACUAGCCACAAGAGACCAUUCAAAUUUAAAUUCACUAAAUUAAGAAGAAUGGUAGAAUCUGUUUUUCAACGAUGUCAGUCUUAUUGCCAGUGCUCAGUGGUCACACUGGUUGUAGCUUUCUAGUUCCCAUCAUCAAAGCUAGUUCCAAAGGGAGAGGUUUUUGUUUCUGAUAAUUAUGGUGAGCUUUAUCUAUUCCUAUACCCUUGUGAGAGCACUGGGAUUCACUGUUUCUGUAACAGUGACUUGGAACUCAUAUAGCUUGGUCAAUGACAAGUCUGGUAUUGAAUCCAAUUACUCUGAUGCCACAGAUUGUUGUGGAUUAAUGGGAUGUGGACAUACUACGGAUUUCCUUACAACGUACCAGGGUAGGAAACAAACAACCAAAACAUCAAAGUUCUCUUUUGGCUUCCUGUGUGAAUACAGUCAAUUAUGAAGACAGAAUGGAAGCACCAGUGUGGUAAGUAUCUAUCUUUUUUCUCCUACCUAAAACCCUUUUCCUUUGGGCACGUAUUUCUUGCUGUGUGGGGCUUGGUGAAAUGUGGAGCUUAAUUCCUUUUUGGAAGCUGAAAAAGUAAGAUGACUAUUUUUCCUCCUUUAUCUUGCAGCUGGGAGAUGGGUUUAUGAGUAGCCUUGACUAAUCCAAUAAGUCAUCAAAGGGAAUUUUAGAGACACAGAGGGGUGGGACAGCCAAUCCUGUCCCUUAGGCCACUCAGCUGGUAGAAGCAGAAACAGACACCCAUAGCUAAACACUGAAUCGAACUAGAAUCCAGUUGCAGAGAAGGAGGAGUGAUGAGCAAAGGGGUCCAGACCAGGAUAUUUCUACUGCAGUGGCAUCUUGCUUUGCCAGGUGGUGGCUACACCCUAUGAGCCUGGCUUCAGGUGUGCAGAAGUGACCCCUUAUAAAGUAGAGGAGAGGCUGGCUUGCUCUCUUGGCUUGUGGUAAGAUCAUCGGAAGGGCAGAGACUGCAUCUUCUGUAGCAGGAAGACCUCAGCGGUUAUUUAUUAUCAUUUGUGUAAGAGCUUCCCUAAUAAAUACCUGUUU